GAUGAACGCUGGCGGCGUGCCUAAUACAUGCAAGUCGAGCGAACAGACGAUAAGCUUGUUCCUCUGACGUUAGCGGCGGACGGGUGGGUAACACAUGGAUCACAUACUUCUAUGACUGGGGUAACAUCGUGGGAAAGCUGAUACUACCGCCUAAUAUAUUGAACCGCUUAGUUCACUAGAGCUAGAGACUUUUCCUGUUUCAUUUAGAUGGUUCCGCGCCGCAUUAGCUAGUUGGUAAGGUAACGGCUUACCAAGGCAACGAUGCGUAGCCGAUCUGAGAGGAUGAUCGGCCACACUGGAACUGAGACACGGUCCAGACUCCUACGGGAGGCAGCAGUAGGGAAUCUUCCGCAAUGGGCGAAAGCCUGACGGAGCAAUGCCGCGUGAGUGAAGAAGGCCUUCGGAUCGUAAAACUCUGUUGUUAGGGAAGAACAACUGCGGAAGUAACCAUGCCUGUCUUGACGGUACCUAAUCAGAAAGCCACGGCUAACUACGUG
This 497-nucleotide ribosomal RNA is filed under the name uncultured bacterium. Its description in RNAcentral is "partial 16S ribosomal RNA". It matches the Rfam family "Bacterial small subunit ribosomal RNA", at positions 28 to 507 of the family's 1533-position model. The record is from RNAcentral.